This 239-nucleotide ribosomal RNA is filed under the name uncultured bacterium. Its description in RNAcentral is "partial 16S ribosomal RNA". It matches the Rfam family "Bacterial small subunit ribosomal RNA", at positions 532 to 770 of the family's 1533-position model. The record is from RNAcentral.
GGGCAAGCGUUAUCCGGAUUUACUGGGUGUAAAGGGAGCGUAGACGGCGCGGCAAGUCUGAAGUGAAAGGCAGGGGCUUAACCCCUGAACUGCUUUGGAAACUGCCAUGCUAGAGUGCUGGAGAGGUAAGUGGAAUUCCUAGUGUAGCGGUGAAAUGCGUAGAUAUUAGGAGGAACACCAGUGGCGAAGGCGGCUUACUGGACAGUAACUGACGUUGAGGCUCGAAAGCGUGGGGAGCA